GGGAGGGUGCUGGGCCAAGCUGUGGCUGGGAGGCCAUCAAAGACUCCUUCUGUGUAUUAAGAUUUGGAAUUUAUUUCUGAUGUCAUGAUAAGGACAAAAGAAUCUUGCACUGUGUCAGGCUGGGGUAGCUGCUGUGCUCCUGAUGGGGAGAAGGAUUGGUGAGAAAAGCUAGAAUGUGGAGUCCUGUCAUCAGAUGAUGUGACUACAUGGAAUGAGGACUAUAGCUGCUCUCUUAAAAACCUGCAGCCCCCUCUCUCAGCCCAGACAGUUGAGAUAAGUAAACUGAGGCCCAAAGAAGUUAAGUAAAUUUCCCAAAGUCACAAGACAAAGGAGGGGCAGAGCUGUGAUUUGAAGUUGGUGCUGUUUGACUCCAAAGUUGGGAUGAAGAUGCCCUGCUCAAGUUUACAAGCGGUGUUUUCCAGCUCAGCACAGCUCUUCUUCCUCUGAAGGUGCAUCUCCCUACCUCUUGAUCAUCUGUGCGGCAAAUGCUCCAUGUGCAUUUGGGGACCAUCAUCACUCUUGUCAGUUUUGUCCCUCCUCAGCCAUCAGUGAGCUCAGGUGCACAGCAGUAACGGGAAAUAGUACAUGGCAGUGCCUAAAGGGUUAGUGAGAGAGAGACCAGACCACACAGUCAUUCCCUCUCUAGCAGCCAUCUCUGCAUGAGAAGUGUUGGAGGGACAGCACCACAGGGACAGUGCUCUGUGCACCUCUCCUGUCCCAAUUAGAACCAUCACAGUCACCAGUGCCUCUAAACUGCAAGGGACCCACUAGGCAAAGAGAGCAGACUGGGGCAGAAAUGUCCCAUCAUGGGAGCUGGAGAUUGGGCUGUAGAAUUUCAGACUGGAAGUUAGAGUUUGGCAGGCAUCCUUCUCAGAUUUUCUGGAACAGUUCCAAUUUUAUGCAACAUAAUUUUUUUAAAUAAUGAUGACUCAUUAAAAAAACUGUGAUUUAAUUUUUAUGCAUUUAAUAGGACUUCUUAUUUAAAUAAAUUCACUAAUCAACAAAACAAAAAUCUUUCUCAGCACCAAGAGUAGUCACUUGAACUUCAGACAUACAUUCUCCUUAUUUAUAGAUCAUCCUGACUGUAAAGGAACCAAAGAAUAAGUUGCUGAGGAUCAACAAAAUACUUGCGGGGUUGAAAUCACAUACUUCCCUUGACUAAAAGAGGCUUAUCAUCUAUGGUUGUACAGGUUGUGCACUGUACCAGGCUGCAACUGCAAGGAGUCUCUAUUUGUACUGCAGACAUUAUUGAUUUGUAUGUUGAAUACAACAGUUUUAUGACAGAUGGGCAGAUUUGUUCAGUAUAAUCAAUAUACAAUAUGAAGACGAUUUCAAACAGAAUGAAGCAAUGUGCCUUGAGGAAGGAGUGCCUGUUCUAAUUUUCACAAUGGUGUCCUAUAAACCACUAGUGGCCUAGAUUGAAUGGCCAGUUCUAUAAAACUCAUGGGCCUGGGAUUGAGAAACCAAGACUCAGAGCAGUAAGGGGAAAGUAGAGCAGUUACUUGCAAGACCAAGGCUAACCUGAAAGUGUAUAAGGUAACACAUUAUUGGCUACACAUUAGAAUCUCUUGGGGAGAUUUGAAAAAUACUGAUGCCUGGGUUUCACCCCUAGAGGUUCCUUUUAACUGGUCUGGGAUACAGCCUGGGGUUGAGGUAUUGAGGUUCUUCAUGUAACCCUAAUAAACAGCCAAGGUUGAGAA
Homo sapiens (human) is the source of this 1700-nucleotide long non-coding RNA. Ensembl annotates it as SLC7A14 antisense RNA 1. Its record names the gene SLC7A14-AS1. NCBI's taxonomy places the organism in Eukaryota, Metazoa, Chordata, Mammalia, Primates, Hominidae. The record is from Ensembl.